GGGGACGCUUGUUUUGACGGAAUUUGUUCUUUCUUAAAGCAAGAAGAGCUGAAAACCUCUUAAAACUUUUCAAAACGAUAAGUGCAAAUACUUACACCUAUCAACCAGCCCAGGCAACUGCUUUCGCUUUUGCUUGAGCCCUUCCCGAUUUAAUCGGGGACAUCCACUGCUUUGACUCCUGAUAGGAGACAGUUGGGUGCUAUAUUUUCAGGAUAGUUUAGUUUUUUCCUUGAAAACUGAACGAAAACAAAAAGGAUAGCUUUAAAAAGAUUUUGUUCGUUUUAACUUUUUAAAAGCGAAAAAAUAAACGAACUAUUCUUGUAGAUUUUUUUUAAGAAUUUUUUUCGGACGAGGGUUCAAUCUCUCCGUCUCCACAU
This 377-nucleotide transfer-messenger RNA is filed under the name bacterium. It matches the Rfam family "transfer-messenger RNA". From Rfam's summary of the family: Bacterial tmRNA, also known as 10Sa RNA or SsrA, is named for its dual tRNA and mRNA-like properties. Its role is to liberate the mRNA from a stalled ribosome. The record is from RNAcentral.